UCUAACCAAAUUCUCCAAUCUCGUCUGAUUCGACUCCAGGUUAGACUCUUGACUCCAAUUAGCUUUUGGAGAAGUCAUUAGCCUUGGGGUUCACAUACUUUUUCCAACCUACACUGUAAAUGUAUUCAAUAUAAAACCACAAUAAUGUGUGUGCUGUUAGUUUAAGCAGACUGUGUUUGUCUGUUGUUGUGACUGAGAUGAAGAUCAGAUCAAAUUUGAUGACCAAUUUAUGCAGAAAUCCAGGUAAUUCCGAAGGGUUCACAUACCUUUUGUGUGUUGUGGUUAGGUGUGUGAUAAAGGUUGUGUGUGUUAUAAGUGUGUGUUAAAGGUUGUGUGUUAAAGGUUGUGUGUUAAAGGUUGUGUGUGUGUUAAAGGUUGUGUGUGUUAUAAGUGUGUGUUAAAGGUUGUGUGUGUUAAAGUGUGUGUGUUAUAGGUUGUGUGUGUUAAAGUGCGUGUUAAAGGUUGUGUGUGUUAAAGGUUGUGUGUGUUAAAGGUUGUGUGUUAAAGGUUGUGUGUGUUAUAGGUUGUGUGUGUUAUAGGUUGUGUGUGUUAAAGGUUGUGUGUUAAAGGUUGUGUGUGUUAAAGGUUGUGUGUUAAAGGUUGUGUGUGUUAAAGGUUGUGUGUGUUAAAGGUUGUGUGUGUUAAAGGUGUGUGUUAUAAGUGUGUGUUAAAGGUUGUGUGUGUUAAAGGUUGUGUGUGUUAAAGAUUGUGUGUUAAAGGUUGUGUGUUAAAGGUUGUGUGUGUUAAAGGUUGUGUGUGUUAAAGGUUGUGUGUUAAAGGUUGUGUGUGUUAAAGGUUGUGUGUGUUAAAGGUUGUGUGUGUUAUAAGUGUGUGUUAAAGGUUGUGUGUGUUAAAGGUUGUGUGUGUUAUAGGUUGUGUGUGUUAAAGGUUGUGUGUGUUAUAAGUGUGUCUGUUAAAGUUUGUGUGUGUUAAAGGUUGUGUGUGUUAAAGGUUGUAUGUGUUAUAAGUGUGUGUUAAAGGUUGUAUGUGUUAUAAGUGUGUGUUAAAGGUUGUGUGUGUUAAAGGUUGUGUGUGUUAAAGGUUGUGUGUGUUAUAGGAUGUGUGUGUUAUAAGUGUGUGUUAAAGGUUGUGUGUGUUAUAAGUGUGUGUUAAAGGUUGUGUGUGUUAAAGGUUGUGUGUGUUAUAGGUUGUGUGUGUUAAAGGUUGUGUGUGUUAUAAGUGUGUGUUAAAUGUUGUGUGUGUUAAAGGUUGUGUGUGUUAUAAGUGUGUGUUAAAUGUUGUGUGUGUUAAAGGUUGUGUGUUAAAGGUUGUGUGUGUUAAAGGUUGCGUGUGUUAAAGGUUGUGUGUUAAAGGUUGUGUGUGUUAUAAGUGUGUGUUAAAGGUUGUGUGUGUUAAAGGUUGUGUGUGUUAAAGGUUUUGUGUGUUAAAGGUUGUGUGUGUUAAAGUGUGUGUGUUAAAGGUUGUGUGUUAAAGCUUGUGUGUGUUAAAGGUUGUGUGUGUUAAAGGUUGUGUGUGUUAAAGGUUGUGUGUGUUAAAGGUUGUGUGUGUUAUAAGUGUGUGUUAAAGGUUGUGUGUGUUAUAAGUGUGUGUUAAAGGUUGUGUGUGUUAAAGGUUGUGUGUUAAGGUUGUGUGUUAAAGGUUGUGUGUGUUAAAGGUUGAGUGUGUUAAAGGUUGUGUGUUAAAGGUUGUGUGUGUUAAAGGUUGUGUGUGUUAAAGGUUGUGUGUGUUAAAGGUUGUGUGUGUUAUAAGUGUGUGUUAAAGGUUGUGUGUGUUAAAGGUUGUGUGUGUUAAAGGUUGUGUGUGUUAUAAGUGUGUGUUAAAGGUUGUGUGUGUUAAAGGUUGUGUGUGUUAAAGGUUGUGUGUGUUAAAGUGUGUGUGUUAAAGGUUGUGUGUGUUAAAGCUUGUGUGUGUUAAAGGUUGUGUGUGUUAAAGGUUGUGUGUGUUAUAAGUGAGUGUUAAAGGUUGUGUGUGUUAUAAGUGUGUGUUAAAGGUUGUGUGUGUUAAAGUGUGUGUGUUAAAGGUUGUGUGUGUUAAAGGUUGUGUGUGUUAAAGGUUGUGUGUGUUAAAGGUUGUGUGUUAAAGGUUGUGUGUGUUAAAGGUUGUGUGUGUUAUAGGUUGUGUGUUAAAGGUUGUGUGUGUUAAAGGUUGUGUGUGUUAACGGUUGUGUGUGUUAAAGGUUGUGUGUGUUAUAAGUGUGUGUUAAAGGUUGUGUGUGUUAAAGUGUGUGUGUUAAAGGUUGUGUGUGUUAAAGGUUGUGUGUUAAAGGUUGUGUGUGUUAUAAGUGUGUGUUAAAGGUUGUGUGUGUUAAAGUGUGUGUGUUAAAGGUUGUGUGUGUUAACGGUUGUGUGUGUUAAAGGUUGUGUGUGUUAAAGGUUGUGUGUGUGUGUGUGUGUGUGUGUGUGUGUGUGUGUGUGUGUGUGUGUGUGUGUGUGUGUGUGUGUGUGUGUGUGUGUGUGUGUGUGUGUGUGUGUGUGUGUGUGUGUGUGUGUGUGUGUGUGUGUGUGUGUGCGUGCGUGCGUGCGUGCGUGCGUGCGUGCGUGCGUGCGUGCGUGCGUGCGUGCGUGCGUGCGUGCGUGCGUGCGUGCGUGCGUGCGUGCGUGCGUGCGUGCGUGCGUGCGUGCGUGCGUGCGUGCGUGCGUGUGUGUGCACAUGUCCAACUCAAAAUAGUUACCAAUACACACACACCACAUACUGUACACACACACACACACACACCACAUUGUCACGCCUUGGUCAUAGUAUUUUGUGUUUUCGUUAUAUAUUUGGUCAGGCCAGGGUGUGACAUGGGUUUAUUUUGUUGUAUUUCGUAUUGGGGUUUUGUAGUUAUUGGGAUUGCGGCUGAGUAGGGGUGUAGCAUA
This is a long non-coding RNA of Oncorhynchus keta (chum salmon), 2819 nucleotides long. RefSeq lists it as uncharacterized. The transcript has 3 exons. NCBI's taxonomy places the organism in Eukaryota, Metazoa, Chordata, Actinopteri, Salmoniformes, Salmonidae. The record is from RefSeq and is a predicted model, not a curated record.